GUAAACUCCCUUUUCAAACUCAAAAUGGUGUUUUAAGGCACCUAAAGCUUUAAGACUUUUAUCAAGACUAGUUCCCAUUUUAUCUAAGGCCUUAAGCACAUCAAAAUCAUUUAUCAAAGUGAGUUUACGGCCAAGACUUUGUUCUUGGGCCGUAAACAUGAAAGGAUGGCACCAAAGUGUGCCUAAUGUCUUCAUAUGCUUGGAAUAAAAGCCUAGAACUUAUACCACCUAUGCUUGAGACUUGAAAACAACAAGAACACCAUUCCAAUGGAGUUUACGGCCGUAAACUCCAAAGGAAAUGGCCUUAGGGCCGUAAACUCCUAAUUGGAGUGUUUCUAGACCUUAAACCCUUUCAAGAAUUGAACCACCAAGUUGGAAUAAUUCUAGGAAUCAUUUGGGACUUCAAAACAAACAAUACCCCCAUGGUUGGGAGUUUACGGCCGUAAACUCAAGAGUUUACAACCGUAAACUCCAUGUGUGAUGGUAUAUGGGGAGUAAACUCAUAUAUGGGGUCCUUUGGAACCCUAAACACAAGUGCCUUGUCCCACAAUAGCUUAGAUGCAAUCCUUAGGGCUUAAAACACUUAUAUAAAGUGUUUAUUAUGUCUAGGAUGUCUUAACAUUAUCAAUUAGUGAUUUGAGACUAAUUGAGUGCAUAUAUGUGUGAUUAUAUGUUCAUUAGGAUCGUAGUGUGUGUACAAGUCCUCGCUUGACACCUAGCAAUCCUAUACCGUUCAGUUCAUCCCAAUCACCAACUACAGGUGAGUUCAUACCCCUAAUCAAUGUUUUAAAUGAUUUUAAAUGCUUUAAAGGGGGGAAUACAAGUAGAAACAAACAUGNAUGUGUUUGUCAGUUAACAGAUUUCACAUGCUACAAAUGUGAUGCAUGAAAUGGUUUUAAAUCUUAAAAAGACAUUGUUAUCAAAUGUUUUACCUUUGAAAUGUUUAUUAAAAUGACAUCAAGUCAUUGUUAAUUAUUGUUCAAAACCCAUAAGAUGUCUUACAAAACCAUUUUACAUUCUUGAACUAAACUAUGCAUAUACACUUAUAUUCUUAUAUAUGUAUUGAUGUUAUAGUUUACAUCUUUCAUUUAGUUUCCCACACCCUUGAGUAGUAAGAGUGUAUAAACCUACAUGAUCAACCAAUUACAUUACAGUAAAUUAUCAUAGGGAUAAUUUGAAGAUAUCAAACAUUACUUCUAUUACAAGGAAUCACACAAGAGUCAGUUCAUUCAUGAGUCUAUACUAGUACAUUACCUGAUACAUGAGUACAUACACAUGUUUACCUGAUACAUGAAUAUGUUUACAUAUACUUACCUGUUACAUGGACACACAUACAUGAAUACCAUACAGGAACACUUUUACAUAGGUGCAUUAUCCUGUAUUCACUUACCUGGAUACUUGUACUUAGAACUACGAGGAUGAUUUAUUAGUACUUACUGUGUAAAUUAUCUUUCCUAUCCCGGUUCAAUGGGAUAUCUCGGCGGGACUUACCAUUCCGAACCCCACUGAUUAGCACCAGUGGUCGAUGACCAUCUACGGAGGUCUAAGGUUACUACUUAUACUAGGUAGAUCGAUAACCGGGGCUAACCCCUCCACCCACCUGCUGCUGCUACAGAGGACAAGUGGACAAUCUUCGAUUGUUCAUUAGGUUAUACCUUUCGCUUAUUGCGAUGUUGUGUUACUCCUAGUACCCAACGAUGACACUUACAUUAUUACUUUUUCUGGACAAUCUUCGGAUGUUCAUUAGGUUACAUAUUUCGCUUAAUGCGAUGUUGUGUUAGUCCUAGUACCCAGUGACAACACUUACAGUAGUACAUUUUCCUGUUUACUUUAUUUUGUGAUACUUUCACAUAAACGAUGAGUUAGACUAAGUACUUUAGUACUAAACAAUUAAAGGAAAAACUAUCAUUUUACUUACAAAACAUUCGGGUCUUGGUAGAAGACUACAUUUCAUACUUAUAGAAAAUAAGGGUUUUUCUAGGGAUUUCAUACUUACCUCAACAUUUUCAUUUAAAGGUUUACAUGGCCUUCAUAACAGAUUUUCAUAAGCAAGACAACGACACUUAAUUUCUUAUGAAUUCACCAGCUUUAAAGCUGAUACUCUCUUUCAAAAUAACUUGUAUUCUCAGGUCAUCAGUAGACAGGUACGGUGGCCAGGUUUUGAGAAGACGGAGCAGACAAGUCUCGUCUUUUAUUUUGAUUGUAUAUUUUUGGUGUCUUAUUACAAUGAAAGAACACACAUGUAUUAAAACUUUACUUAUAAUGCAAUGGAUGAUGUUGUUGCUUGUUUAUUAUAUUACACUGUUGUGAUACUGUACAUGACGUCCUCCACCCCUGAACGUUUCCGCCGUUCGUGGUUUUGGGGUGUGACAGAUUGGUAUCAGAGCAUUGUUUAUAGUGAAUUAAGUAUAUCAACCCAUAAAAGAUAUACUAACUAUAAAUACAUGGGGAUUAAAACACUCUGUCUAAGAGUUAUACUUUUAAAUAAUAAAAUAUUUAACAAAGUAUACGUGCCUGCAUUCAUACUAAAAUCAGUGUCACAAUGACAAGAACAAAAGUAUUACGAUUGUUGAAUAUCACAAGUAAGCCUGGGGAUAUAUGGUCAGUCUUGGGAAUGGCAUAGCCUGAUCAACUAUGCUGGUCCGAGGAGUGAUUAGCAUAUGCCCAAGAAUGGUUGUGAUAUGGCAACAAGUCUAAAAACUUACCAACACAACCAUAAAGAAAUACCAUAGGGGUAUUUGGUCUUACUGUAAUUAUCUUAGUCAGUUCGUCUAUUUAGCUAUUUCUUAUAUCCCUUUUCUCGCGUAGAUUUAAAUGGCUGGAUUUCACCAUGGCGAUCCGUACUUCCCGAACCAAGGCAAUGCUGGUUGGCUAGAGGCAGAACCAGAAGAUGAUCACCCAAUCCCUUUGGAUGAUCACCAUGCUGAGGGUUUUUCCGAUAGUUCUGACUCGGAGCCUGAAGUCAACAACCUACCCCCAGCUGCUCAAAACCCAAACCUGAACCCCCGUCCCGCGUUUCAAGGACCCACACCUCUGUGGGCCACUAACUUGACUAGAUGGAGUCAGGAACAAGGUCAGCCCAUUCCCUACAAUGGAGACCGAAGUUUCUACAACCUCACUGAAGGAGGUUCUGCUGACAGGGUCCUACCCAUCAUGGUUCGUAGAAUUUCCAGAAACACGAUACUGGGUCAAGCAACUAUUGACCGGGUCGUGGAGAUUGAAGCCAACUCUGGCGUUAACACUGUCCACAUUCGCCAACUAGAGUCUGCUCAUGAAAGGACUCUGGUCCGCAAUGCAAAUCUGCAGAGGGAACUUGCUGAAACUCAAGCUGAAGUUAGGGAACUUCGAGCUCAGCAAGUGAGAGCUGACAGGCGUAUGAGGGACAUGGAACGUCUACUGUCGGGAUCAAGAACUCAUGCUAGCAGUUCUCGUCGCCGAUAGAAUCUCGUCGACUCAUCUUUUGGAUAUAACCUAGUUUAUGUAAAACUUUGGUCUAAUUUCCUAUCUUUAUAAAUCUUAGACCUGUUAGGUCUUGAUCUAGUCUUAAUUCUGUCAAAAUUUUCCAUCUUGGUUGAUGUAAGGCCUACUUCUAGGCCAUUUUUCCCGAACUUGUUACAUCUGUAAUUCCAGUAUUAUUGACAGAUAUCUAAUCUUAUGGAAAUUAUUAUCCAAAUGCUGUCAUCUUCAUUUAGUCAUUCUAUUCAUUCUGUUGUUGGACUAUGGGGAGUUAGUCCAUGAGACACAUUCAUUAAUCAUUUAUUCUUAUCCAUGUCGUCAUCUUUUAAACGUAUAGUUAAAGAUGCCGCCACGCAGAAAUACAAGGCGUAACCCAAACAACGAAGCACCGAUACCACCACCUCCACCACCACCUGAACCUCUUCAACCACCUAAUCCUUUCGAUGCCAACAUGUUCCAGGCAGCUUUCACAGCAGCAGUUGCAGCUGCUGUGUCAGCAAUCAACGCUCCUGCCCCUAGUGGAUCAGGAACAGGUGCACCACCCUCGAACCACGGCGAAAGCCAUGGACACCCUCGGGAAUGCACCUACAAGGACUUCACGAACGCCAAACCCCGCAGCUUCAAUGGAACUGGGGGUGUUAUGGUGUUGAGACAAUGGAUUGAAAAGAUGGAAUCCGUCUUUGAAAUCUGUGCUUGCCAGGAGGGCAACAAGGUCAAGUUUGCAGCUUGUACCUUCUCUGACAGAGCACUAACAUGGUGGAACAGCCAUGUUAACUAUCUGACUUUGGUGGUGGCGUAUUCCAUCAGCUGGGAAAAGUUGAAGGACAUGCUGAUGAAAGAAUACUGUCCUCGAGGCGAAGUACAAAAACUCGAGCAGGAAUUCUGGGGUCUACAAAUGGUUGGAUCCGACAUCACGACCUACACAAAUAGGUUCUGUGAUCUGGCAAACUUAUGCCCUGACAUGGUUGCUCUCCAGAGCAAAAAGAUAGAGAGAUAUAUCUGGGGACUGUCGCCCCAGAUCCAGUCAAGUGUGAUCGCUUCCAGGCCUAUUACCUUCGAUAGCGCCAAGGAACUGGCACAAUCUCUCAUCGAUCACCGGAAACCUCAGAACACAACAAUCCCUACACCCGUACCACAAAAGUCCAACCCCGACUACAACAAGAAGGGGUGGAAUAAGAGGAAAAGAGGGGCUUCGCAAGGAUCCUCCAAUAAACAACAACUUGUGGCGAUCAAUGCUGCCACAGUGACUCCUGUUGUCCCUGCGAACCCCUUACCAGCAAAAACUUAUGCUGGAACUCUUCCGAAGUGCACCAAGUGCAACUACCACCACCACGGACCUUGCAAGGAGAUGCAGUGCUCUAACUGCAACAGGAAGGGGCAUACAGCCCGUGUCUGCAGGACGCCAACAGCUCAGGCCACCCAGGUUCCUAACGCCGGUAUGGGCCAAGCUUGCUAUGGUUGUGGCGAAGUGGGCCACUACAAGAGGAACUGCCCUAAAGCGGGGAUGGCUGGAGGAGUAGGAAGAGUUAUGGCCCUAGGCCACGAGGAAGCGGUAGCUGAUCCUACGAUAGUUACUGGUACGUUUCUCCUCGAUAACUCAUAUGCUUGCAUACUUUUCGAUAGUGGAGCAGAGAAAAGUUUUGUAAGUCACAAAUUUGCACACCUGCUUAAACAAAAACCAUGUGCAUUAGAUAGUUCAUUCACGGUAGAAAUGGCUAACGGGAAAACAGAGAGUACAAACUGCAUAUACGUAGGUUGUACCUUAACUUUAGAUGGCCAUACUUUCAAGAUAGAUCUCAUGCCAGUCCCAAUUAAAUGUUUCGACGUUAUCAUCGGUAUGGAUUGGUUGAGUCUUCUUCGUGCCGACAUUAUGUGCUUCGAAAAAGCAGUUCGUCUUAACCUUCCUAACAACGAAACUUUAAUUAUCUACGGCGACAAACCUAGUACGAGCCUUCGCAUCAUUUCGUGCAUUCAAGCCCAGAAGUGCUUGCGGAAGGAGUACCAUGCAUUUCUCGCACACGUCGUCGAUACCAGUCAAGAACUGAAAGACAUCCAGAAAAUCCCAGAAGUACGCGACUUUCCCGACAUAUUCCCAGAAGAACUUCCCGGUUUACCACCACAACGCCAAGUCGAGUUCAGAAUCGACUUAGUGCCAGGGGCUACCCCCGUAGCCAAAUCUCCUUAUCGUCUGGCACCGGCUGAAAUGCAGGAACUUUCCAGUCAACUUAACGAACUUCUCAAGAAGGGAUUCAUUCGACCAAGCUUCUCACCAUGGGGAGCACCGGUCUUGUUCGUCAAGAAGAAAGAUGGAUCGUUUCGCAUGUGCAUCGACUAUAGAGAACUCAACAAACUUACCAUUAAAAAUCGUUAUCCCUUGCCCCGCAUUGACGAUUUAUUUGAUCAACUUCAAGGAGCCAACUACUUCUCGAAGAUAGAUCUGCGAUCCGGAUAUCACCAACUACGAGUAUUAGAGGAGGAUGUUCCCAAGACAGCCUUCCGAACUCGUUAUGGGCACUACGAGUUUGUAGUGAUGCCAUUCGGAUUAACUAACGCGCCCGCAGUAUUCAUGGAUCUGAUGAAUAGGGUGUGUCGUCCUUACUUGGAUCAGUUCGUCAUCGUCUUCAUUGAUGACAUACUCAUCUACUCUCGAAGUAAGGAGGAGCAUGGUCAACAUCUCCGUAAAAUCUUAGAAACAUUGCGAGCGGAGAAGCUCUACGCGAAGUUCUCAAAGUGCGAAUUUUGGAUUCGGCGAGUCGAAUUUUUGGGCCAUGUGGUUAGCGAAGAAGGUAUACACGUGGACCCUUCCAAAAUUAAGGCCAUCGAGAACUGGUCAGCACCAAAGACACCUACUGAAAUUCGUCAAUUUCUAGGUCUAGCUGGCUACUAUCGCAGGUUCAUUCAGAACUUCUCCAGCAUAGCGAAACCUCUUACAACCCUGACCCAGAAAGGCGUGGCCUUCGACUGGGAGGAGAAACAGGAAAGAGCGUUCCAAACGCUCAAACGAGCCUUGUGCACCGCCCCGAUACUAUCCCUUCCCGAAGGAAUAGAAGACUUCAUUGUCUAUUGCGAUGCAUCCAAUCAAGGACUCGGAUGUGUUCUGAUGCAGCGAGGUAAAGUCAUCGCCUAUGCCUCGAGACAGCUGAAGACACAUGAGGUUAACUACACAACCCACGAUCUUGAACUAGGAGCAGUUGUGUUUGCUCUGAAGAUCUGGCGACAUUACCUGUACGGUACAAAAAGCACGAUCUUUACAGACCAUAAGAGUCUACAACACAUUUUCGACCAGAAAGAGCUCAACAUGAGACAACGACGGUGGGUCGAGCUACUUAGUGAUUACGAAUGCGAAAUUCGUUAUCAUCCGGGUAAAGCCAAUGUAGUAGCCGACGCCCUAAGUCGGAAAGAAUAUACUGGUCGUAGAGUCAAAUCUUUGACUCUAACUAUCCAUUCACACUUGUCCACGCAAAUAAAGGAGGCUCAGCUCGACGCUUUGAAACCUAAAAACGUGGCGGGUGAAUCCCUUAGAGGGAUGUAUAAGAACUUAGAAAUCAAGGGUGGCGGAGAUUUAUACCUCAUGGAUCGGAUCUGGACACCGAAAUAUGGUGGCUUCAAAGACUUGGUCAUGACCGAAGCUCACAACACUCGUUAUUCCGUCCACCCGGGUUCAGAUAAGAUGUACCUGGAUCUUAAAAAGUUAUACUGGUGGCCUAACAUGAAAGCAGAUAUUGCUACCUUCGUGAGUAAAUGCCUUACUUGCGCAAAGGUCAAGGUCGAAUACCAGAAACCCUCCGGUCUUCUACAACAACCGGAGAUACCAGAAUGGAAGUGGGAGCGGAUCACUAUGGACUUCAUAACCAAGUUGCCCAAGACGACGGGUGGACUUGAUUCCAUAUGGGUCAUCGUCGAUAGACUGACCAAGUCUGCACACUUCCUACCGAUCAAAGAAACAGACAAGAUGGAGAAACUUACCAGAACUUACAUUAGGGAGAUUGUAAGGCUGCACGGUGUUCCUUUAUCUAUCAUCUCAGACCGAGAUAGUAGAUUCACUUCGAGGUUCUGGCAGUCAUUACAAAGUUCCCUAGGAACUAGGCUGGACAUGAGUACAGCCUACCAUCCACAGACCGACGGGCAAAGUGAGAGGACUAUCCAAACCUUAGAAGAUAUGUUGCGUGCCUGUGUGAUUGACUUUGGAAAAGCUUGGGAUACUCAUUUACCCCUUGUUGAAUUUUCCUACAACAACAGUUAUCAUACGAGCAUAAAGGCAGCUCCAUUCGAGGCCCUCUAUGGCCGAAAGUGCAGAUCCCCUCUGUGCUGGGCUGAAGUGGGUGAUACCCAGUUAGCUAAGGGACGAGUUCCCGAAAGCACUCUCACGGGUCCGGAGAUCAUUCGGGAAACGACAGAGAAGAUCGUUCAAAUUCGUGAACGAUUGAAAGCCUCUAGAGACCGACAGAAAAGCUACGCUGACAAGCGUAGGAAACCAUUGGAGUUCCAGGUGGGCGACCGAGUCCUACUGAAGGUCUCACCCUGGAAGGGCUUGAUACGCUUUGGAAAGCGUGGGAAGCUCAAUCCAAGAUACAUAGGGCCUUUCGAGAUUCUCGCGAGAAUCGGCCCUGUAGCUUACAAACUCAAUCUACCGCAAGAACUCAGUAACGUACAUCCUACCUUCCACGUGUCAAACUUGAAAAAGUGUCUAUCCGACGAGACUCUUGUUAUUCCACUCGACGAGAUCGAGAUCAACGAGAGCCUCAACUUCGUGGAGGAACCAGUAGAGAUCAUGGACCGAGAGGUCAAGCAAACAAAGCAGAGCCGUAUCCCGAUAGUGAAGGUGCGCUGGAACGCAAAGCGUGGACCGGAAUUCACUUGGGAACGUGAGGAUCAGAUGAAACUGAAAUACCCUCACCUUUUCGCUUAGUUAUUUGUAAUUUCUUAUUUGCUUAAAUUCUAAUUUCGGGACGAAAUUCCUUCUAACGGGGGGAUGAUGUGACAACCCGAAAUUUCCAUUCUGUACAAACUAUAUCACUUCAAUAGAAGUUAUAGCAGUCACAGUUAAUUUUCAGACUUUUCGCGUAAGUUUGAGUAAUUCAGGGUUUACACUUCAGGAAAUAUCAGGAGAGUGGGUGCACUAGGGUUUUGUGCAACACUGUUAUUCCAACACUCUAUUAUAUUAGAGAUCAUUUCAGGAAUAAAAAUAUUUUCUGCCAAAAAUAUCUCAGGACUAUAAAUAGAAUUCUGAACCAAAUUCAUUCAUUAUUCACAUUUCCAACUAGAGAAAAGCCAUUUUCUCUCUCACGGAUCUUCGGGUUUUUAUCCCAAAUCGUGAGUACCUCUUUCUAGUAGUGUUAGAAAGCUUUAUAUGUGUUAAUAACAUGAUUUAGAAGGCUAAAUCACUAGAUUUAGGAGUUUACUCCCCAAGGUGUUCUUGGGCGGUAAACUCCCGAAACAAAGCCGAGACCAACCCUUGUGUUAUGCAACUGCCUUAGACUCUUAUGUAUAUGUGUUAGGGACAAGAAAACAGCCUAGAAUCACCCAAUUUUGGGAGUUCACGGCCCAAGAGGUUCUUUGGCCGUAAACUCCCUUUUCAAACUCAAAAUGGUGUUUUAAGGCACCUAAAGCUUUAAGACUUUUAUCAAGACUAGUUCCCAUUUUAUCUAAGGCCUUAAGCACAUCAAAAUCAUUUAUCAAAGUGAGUUUACGGCGAAGACUUUGUUCUUGGGCCGUAAACAUGAAAGGAUGGCACCAAAGUGUGUCUAAUGUCUCCAUGUGUGAUGGUAUAUGGGAAGUAAACUCAUAUAUGGGGUCCUUUGGAACCCUAAAACACAAGUACCUUGUCCCACAAUAGCUUAGAUGCAAUCCUUAGGGCUUAAAACACUUAUAUAAAGUGUUUAUUAUGUCUAGGAUGUCUUAA
This 9358-nucleotide long non-coding RNA is filed under the name Lactuca sativa (garden lettuce). Its description in RNAcentral is "long non-coding RNA (LSAT_LNC004926)". Lineage: Eukaryota; Viridiplantae; Streptophyta; Magnoliopsida; Asterales; Asteraceae. The record is from RNAcentral.